AGAUGAAAGAGAAAGAAACAUGGAGUUUCCUAGGCAGUUAAUGUUCCUCAUGAUAUACUGACAUAGCCAAAACAACAGGUGUGUAGCUUCCAGUGAGCGAAGUAACAACAAGAGAAACCCCAAUAAAAGAAGAUAUGGGCCACUGGUGGUCAAUGCAGGCUUGUCGGUGGCGUAUAGGGACUACAUCAACUUGCCUGUCACGGCAAAGGGGGGCCAAGCUGGAGAUGAGCUGGUGAUAAACAAUCUCAGGCCGAGAAAUGUUGUCGAAACUUGUCGAAGAGAAUGUUGUAAAAAAUAUAAGGUGAAAAUGAUUUUAAAUUGAAAGAAUGGAUUUCUUGCUCCGGAGCGCUCCCAGCCCCUGCUUCGCCGCCAUUGCCCUGAUGCUUAAGCAGGCCAGCCUUCCCGCCUCAUCUGGGGGCCUAUGGGCAUGAGUCACCACCUCGGUAGGCCAUGUAGUAGGCGGUCUCGCUUCCCCAACACAGGUACUUGCAAGAACCAACAAGGCCAAGACGACUCUUUGCAUCGAGAACAUGCAGAUGGACGAGAGCUGCAUUUAUAAUUGAUUGGCAAGGCAUGGUAUGUUCCUCUCGCUCUCCUAUGCAAGGCAAUAGAACAAUGGUCUUCCUGAAGCCAGUGCGGGAGCCACGCACGCCACUGGUGCUGGCGAGUGUGUGAGGCACAUCGACAACGCACUGCAUCUCAGUCGGCUUAGAGAUGCCCUCCUCUGGUGUCACGGACAACAACUCAUCCUCUUGCCGGCCGUCCACUUCGGACAUCGAACAGUACAUGACGCAUCGCUCCUGUGCCUCCCCAUACACCAGUGUGGGAGGGACGCAACCUAGUUGA
This is a long non-coding RNA of Triticum aestivum (bread wheat), 846 nucleotides long. RefSeq lists it as uncharacterized. The transcript is spliced from 3 exons. The record is from RefSeq and is a predicted model, not a curated record. NCBI's taxonomy places the organism in Eukaryota, Viridiplantae, Streptophyta, Magnoliopsida, Poales, Poaceae.